This is a long non-coding RNA of Armigeres subalbatus, 311 nucleotides long. RefSeq lists it as uncharacterized. The transcript is spliced from 3 exons. Lineage: Eukaryota; Metazoa; Arthropoda; Insecta; Diptera; Culicidae. The record is from RefSeq and is a predicted model, not a curated record.
UACUUAACGAGCAGAAGAUCCUGGUUAUGUGCACAGAUACUUUAUUAGAAAUGCGCUCCGUUUUUCAUCAUAUGAAACCGUCCAGGAGUCCGGAAAAACGGGAAGUUGGGUUGAUUAUGUUUCAAACCCUGGGAGUUCGUAAGGCUGCGAAAGUUGGAAAUCUACGGAUUAUAUUUCUGAGCGGUGGCCGUGACAGGAAACUGUGAAGAUGGACCGACGAAGCCUUAUGGACCGACGAAGCAACAAUGGGAUAAACAUUUUUCAACAUGUAAAAGUUUUUUACUACGUACCUACUGGUUUAAUAAACUAAA